UACGGGGGGAGCAAGCGUUGUUCGGAUUUACUGGGCGUAAAGGGCGCGUAGGCGGCCAGCACAAGUCAGUUGUGAAAUCUCCGAGCUUAACUCGGAACGGUCAACUGAUACUGUGCGGCUAGAGUGCAGAAGGGGCAACUGGAAUUCUUGGUGUAGCGGUGAAAUGCGUAGAUAGCAAGAGGAACACCUGCGGCGAAGGCGGGUUGCUGGGCUGACACUGAGGCGCGACAGCGUGGGGAGCAAACAGG
Molecule: ribosomal RNA, 248 nt
Filed under: uncultured bacterium
Lineage: Bacteria
Description: partial 16S ribosomal RNA
Rfam family: Bacterial small subunit ribosomal RNA
Source: RNAcentral